CUAAGUCCAAGCUCCCGUGUGUGUGUGUGUGUGUGUGUGUGUGUGUGUGUGUGUGUGUGUGUGUGUGUGUGUGUGUGUGUGUGUGUGUGUUUGUGUGUGUGUGUGUGUGUGUGUGUGUGUGUGUGUGUGUGUGUGUGUGUGUGUGUGUGUGUGUGUGUUAAAAAACGAAACGAAAGCCCGCCCAACGGCGCGACGGAGUUACUUACCGAUACCUACCAUUUUACCAAGCGUUGCGUGACUGUCGUGACCCAGGUAGUCAUACUUACCCGCGAUAAGCCUGGAACCCCACGGGCGACCAUUCGGCCUGACCCCGCGAUGCACCUGUAUGCGUCCAUGCUCCGCACCCUGUGUGUGUGUGUGUGUGUGUGUGUGUGUGUGUGUGUGUGUGUGUGUGUGUGUGUGUGUGUGUGUGUGUGUGUGUGUGUGUGUGUUAAACAAAGAAUCAAACGGAACAAAAUUCCGCCAUACACGCGCGCGCAGUUACCAACAAAUACCGACGCCGGUUACCGAGCUCCGCGUUUGUCGAUGUUGCCCCAGUUGUCACCUUGAGUGUGUGUGUGUGUGUGUGUGUGUGUGUGUGUGUGUGUGUGUGUGUGUGUGUGUGUGUGUGUGUGUGUGUGUGUGUGUGCGUGUGGAUCUCUCUGUGUUUGUCAGGAAAGCACAAUGGGACACACGCACCGCGCACACCACCGAUACGCACCGCGUGCUCUCGAAGGGGAUAUAGUUAACGUGAUGAUCCCCGGUACAGCUGCACUGUCCAGCAGCCCUGAACUGUGGCUUUGUAUGCAAACGGCCCCAAACGGAACUUACCGCUGGUUAGCUCACCAGUUUGCUCACAGUUCUCUGUGGCCCCUCUUUUGUUUCACCCAUGCGCAGGAGAUCCUGACGGAACGCGGCCUCAGCACCACCGACUGCUUUGAGAAAGGCGACCUCGCGAAGAAGGUUCACGCGCAGUGCUCCAGCGUCACCUACUACAAGUGAUGCAGCGUCAGCAUCUACAAGUAAUUUAGCAAGGCUGAAAGGGGUAACAGGUUGGAAGGGUUGCGCCGCUCCGGCGGUGGCCUGCGGCAGCCUGUGACCUGUUGGAUGCAUUCAUGGGCUAGCUUGGGCAAGCAUGGGGCUCGUGCAUUGUGCUGCACUGGCGAGGGUCGCCAGGCGUGUCGUGCAGGAGACGUCGACUGUCGCACAGCAGACCGAGUGGCGGUAUUGUCGGGCCGGACGUGUUGAAGGCUUUAAGGAUGUUGGCAUUUUGCAGGUGCGUGAGAGAGUGCGGUGAGUUGCCGACGGGAGUAUGGCGGGCCUGGACUGGGCAGGCCAAUGUGUACAUAGGCAAGGCUGGAACGCAGGUACAGCGCGGUAGGGUGGGGAGGGGGAGUGAGGAGACGAAACGGCAGCAACGUGGAGCGGGAUUUUGAGCGGGGAGUUCUGCACCCAGGGGUGCGCGAGGGAAGACCUGGGGCACAGCACGCGGUAAAGCAUGAAUUGUAAUGACUGGAGGCUGAACGUGCAGAUCGGUGAGCAGGCACGGUGAGCAGGGAACUAGGAGGUUCCAUGGCCAAAUGAAGACGACGUGAAAGCACGGCCGAAAGAGCCCCCACACUCUUGCCCACACUGGCACAGACGGGUGUUAGUUGGUCAAGCCGGAAAGUCUUCGCCAGGACUUGACCGCACGUGUGGAUGUAGGGAGCGUGCACUUUAGCAUGCAGCGCGGUGGCUGCGUCUGUUGCCGGCAGUUUUGCUGAAUCCAUCUUUCUGGAUGUCACAGCUUCCGUGUUGUGGGCUUGCGGAACACUUAUUUCUCCACAUGCAAUAUCAGAACGCAGAAUGACGUAUCAGAGAAGCCCAACGUUGGGGUGGUCCGUAUGAAGACGUCCUUUCGCGAUUACGCCCCCAAAUAGCAGAUCGAUGAGCUAUCCAACCAAUAUAUCGCGGCCGCUUCGUGUCGUUGCGGCGCACAGGCCCCCGUUUGUGUUUCUGGACGAAAACGACACAAAGGCCGGUUUCGUGACUGGAAUGUUGGUGGAGCUGCUGCGCAAGAUGCUAGAGGUAACGAUUAUGAAGGACAAGCACUAGGUUGGGACUUUCGUCGUCGAUGGCGCGCGUCCCGAAGCCCGCGUUCCUGGGCUGCCUGGGCGAAGCCAUAAAGCGCGCUGGGGCCGCCCCAGUGCCCGGUGCGGCUCGGAAGGCCCAGCGCUCCGUUUCCCUUGCUAACAGCGAACACGCGAAUGCAAAUACAUACCAGCCAAUCGCACAUGAAUAGGGGGCCUCGCACGUGUGCCGUGCCCGUGUGUUCCAUGCAGAACACACCCGAGCUGGCCGGCGCGACGUGGGACUAUUUUAAGGCGCCGAGCAACACGGGCGGCUACCUGCAGCCAGACGGCAAAUGGAAUGGUGAGCGCUAUGAGGGGAAAGCCUUUAGGGCAGACUUUAGCUGUGCACGAGUCACGAUGAGUCCGCAAUGGCAGGCCCUCUGGCGGCUCUGUUGCGCUGCAGUCGGUCCGUCACGGUCCGUCGCCCCAGCGGGCCCGUUCACACCAGCGGGGCACGUGUAUGUGCGCGUGGGUAGCAGUAUAUGUGCAGCAAUGUAUGCUACAAUAAGCUAGCCCUCACCAGGUCUAUUGCGUGCCCUGCUGCGCGCCCGAAACCACACACACACACACACACACACACACACACAGACACACACACACACACACACACACACACACACACACACACACACACACACACACACACACACACACACACACACACACACACACACACACACACACACACACACACACACACACACACACACACACACACACACACACACACACACACACACAUACACACACACACACAGGCAUGAUGGGGCAGCUGGUGGACCAGAGGGCGGACAUUGCGCUGUUCCCGCUGACAAGGUACGACACACGGGGGGGCGGUAUGGGGCGGCGGUACGCGGCGGUACGGGCAGCCUCCCGAAUGGGCGGGGAGCAGGCCGGCGGGAGGCGGGGGCAGCGGGUAUUUCGUGUCCAAGCCCCGCGGACCGCCACACAGCUGCCAGCUUUAUUUGGGGGCCACGCCUCGUGUGUCUUUCGCAUUCUUGUGUUCUGCAUGAGUUGGCUGUUCAUGAGCGGCAACGAACCCAUCCCAUCUCAUCCCAUCCGCUGGCUUGCUUUGGGACUUUGGGUUUUGGAAUGAAUUGCCUAUCCCCCUCCCACCACAAACCACACGUACCCAACCCCAAGGACUUUGACGCGCUACCAAGCAGUGGACUGCACCCUCACAUACAUGGUGCGUGUGGGGCGUGGGGCGUGGGGCGGGCGUGCGCUUUUGCGUGUGGGGCGUGUGGGGCGUGUGUGCGCUUUCGCGUGUGGGGCGUGUGUGCGCUUUUGUGUGUGGGGCGUGUGGGGCUGUCCACUCCAAGCCUCGGAGGAAGGGGGGUCGCCUUGCUGUUACUUCUGCUCCCUUAUUACUUGUCCAAGAACCCCACGUGUGUUGUAUACGGUGUUGUUUCAGCAUCACCUGUUGCUUGUGUGUGGCUGCCCUGCCGUACUCGCGAAUGCAGGACAGCGGGAUUAGCGUGGUGAUCAUGUGAGUCGCUGCUGCCACGGAGGCGGCGGGGAGGGGGCCGCCGGGAGGGGGCGGGUCGAUGCUGCUGCUCAAGAGCGGCGGUGCCUUGGCAAGCGCCCCGCAGCGAUGCGCGUGCUGCCGACACCACUGGCUACACAAGCCACCGCCGCCAACAUCCCCUGCCAACCCCCAUUCCGUACUUGUGAUGUAAUCACCACUCGGUUCGUUACAUCCCCUGCCACCCCCACCGCCCUGUAUGUCUGGUCCCUAGCGACGCAUGCAACCACACGCCGCCGCCACACCUUGCUGCCACCCCACCGCUGCCACCCCCCACCGCUGCCCCCCCCCCUCACCGCCACCACCACCACCACGUGUGACAGUGCCGGCAAGGUCACCACCGGGGCGCUGUCGGUGCUCGCGCCCUACACCUGGACCCUGUGGAUUGUCAUCCUGUGCACCGUGGUCGGCAUAGCGCUGGUGUUCUGGUGCGUGCGACUGAUGACUGAUGGCUAAUGAUGAUGACUGUGAUGAUGACUAAUAGUCAGGCGACUGAUGACUGAUGACUACUGAUGACUGCCAUAUAUAAGAGUCUGGCGACUGAUAAAUGAUAUGCUGGCUGGCGCGGGCCGGAUCGGCGGGAGUUCAGCCAUCCACCCAGCUAGGCUCCCACUCACAGUGGGGUCGGUUACACGACCAAGUGGGCGGAGUCCGCCCCACACCUGGACACUAGGGCCAGCACCGCCUACAUGACGCACCCCGGCGCUGGGCACAGCCUCCGACGCUUCAUCCAGAAUGCCAGGCAGGGAGGCCUCAUCUGCCCCGCCCGGCUUGCGCUGUUCAAACUACGUGCGAGUGACACAUGUGCACUCUGCGCCCCGAUUCACCAGCGCGCUGGAUCCCCCCCCGAACGGGGCAACGCAGGCCACCUUGCCGGCCACUGUGCGCACCCCCAACUUGUUGGGGCCCGCAUCGCCAAACACAAUGCCGCCGUCCGUAUGAUCGCGGAAUGCCUGCACCAUGGCGCCAACGGUGGCGGGUACAUGUUGAUGGACGCAAGCAGUGCAGAUGCACACCCCGAAUACUGUGCGGGCACCUGCCCCCCCAAAUGGAUGCUGCGCAACAAUAUCCCCAAGGCCGACCGAAAAAGGAUGAGGCCUGACAUCCUGUUCAUCCCAUCCCUACCACGCUCCGACGUGGGGGCUAGUGGGCCCCGCGGCCUUACAACCGCCGGCCGACGGCAACACAAAGUUUACCUGAUAGAAGUUGGUUACACAUCAGACCUCCACCACAGCGAAAAGUGUGACCAGAAACAAGCCCAGCACACUCGCCUAGCCGACGCCCUGCGGGAUGCAGGCUGGGACGUAGUAUAUAAAAAGGAGCAGAUUGUGACGCUGGGCCACGGCGGCACUGUGUCAAACACCUUGGAACCCCUUCUCCGGUCGCUGGGUGCCACCACCACAUCAGCAAAAUCCUGCUGCUCGCGCAUACACAUGCACAGUGUCAUCAGCCUGCGCACCACAUCCCUUCUCUACUACCGCCUUGAGCGCGAAAUGGGGAUUGUGAACUCACGCCACGUCGGUCCCACUGGCGGCGCCACGGCUGCUGGCCCCAGCCCUCGCGAUCCAGGCUAACUUCCCACCUUUUGACACGGUGGGGUGAGCAAAACUCACUCCUCCUUAAGAAACGCGGCCUCCUUCGUGAACCGCGUACAUAUUAUUAUUAUUAUUAUUCCUGGUUCAAUUUGGGCUGGUAUCCAAGACCACCCAUGUAUCCAUCCAUCCACUCAUCCAUCUUGUGGUUUGCCUAUAGCUCUUACUGCACGCAAUCGCAUGCAUGGAAGUGGGCCGCCACCCACUCACCCUUCCCUACCUCCCCUCUGUCAUCCACACGAACAGGACGCUGGACGUGUACGGGCAGUGGGUACGCAGCACGCGCAUCACCAAGCUGCAAAAGGCCGGCACGCUGCCCGUGCCCCACCGCAGCGGCGACGGCGGCGGCGGCGGCGGGCCGGCACACGUGGGCCGACGCAAUAAGGUGGCGAAGGACAGCCGCAGUACAGUGUUGAUCAGCUUCAUUGCAGCGGCUGGGGCGCCGGAGCGGCCGGAGCGCAGCGGCUGGGGGGUUCAGGUGCUGUAUGUGGUUUACUGCUUCUUCUGGUGAGCUCUGGGCGGGCUGGGGGGCGUGGGGUGGCGGGCGGGGUGGCGGGCGUGGGUGGCGGGGUGGGUGGCGGGGUGGGUGGCGGGCUGGGUGUUCAUUCCAGGGGCGCCGGGGAUGGGGGAGUGAAUGGCGUAUCCGUGUGUAACUGCUGCAUGCCGGGGAUCGGUCGAACUGCUGCCGUGCAAGUGUUGACACCCCGCGCCUACCUCUUCCGCAUCAAUUCCUGAUUUGCUCUCCCCAAUCCUCUCCGCCCACCCCACCCCACCCCCCUACCUCCGCCCGCAGCUUCAUCCUGCUGUCCGCCUACACAGCCAACCUGACGUCCUUCCUGUCCGUGCAGCGCGCGGCAGUGGCCAUUGGGGGGCUGGAGGUGGGUGCUGCUGCGGUGCAUCUGCUGGGGCACCGUGUCUGCAGUAGGUGUGUGUGUGUGUGUGUGUGUGUGUGCGUGUGCGUGUGCGUGUGCGUGUGCGUGUGCGUGUGCGUGUGCGUGUGCGUGUGCGUGUGCGUGUGCGUGUGCGUGUGUGUGAUGGGACAGGGUUCAGGCAGGUUGGCGAGGUCCCAUAGGGUGCCGCUGCGUGUGCGUGUGCGUGUGCGUGUGUGCGUGUGCGUGUGUGUGUGUGUGUGUGUGUGUGUGUGUGUGUGUGUGUAUGUGUGUAUGUGUGUAUAUGUGUGUAUGUGUGUAUGUGGGGGGAGGGUCAUGAUGCCAGGGGGUUGAUGCGAAUGGAUAGGCCGGUCAAACCCUGCAACUAACCGGCUGACUGCCGCUGCCGCUAGGGCAACUACCCCUUCGUACACGUCGUGGUGCUCACGUGUUUGCCGCGCAACGAUUGCGUGUGCGUGUGUGUGCGUGUGUCCUGUCAGGACAUCGCACGUGACCAGGGCCGCCUGGCGGUUAACCCCAACGGCUCAACCGCUUCAUACUUUUACCGCUCAUCGGAUCCAGUGGCCAUGCAGAUCUCACCAAAGUGAGUGAGGCAGUUAAUAGUUGGCAGUUGGCAUCCACCUCUGCAUAGUCUGCAGUCGGUUGGCGGUUGCACGGUCGGGGCGCAGAUGUGCAGUCGCAUGCCAGGAAUCUCUGGGCUGAUGGUUUCUGGUUCUGCGUCUCCAUGAUCUCGGCGUUAGUUGAAACCCAAUAAUCACAAUACCCCUGCCCCCUCCCAUGCCCACUGAUCUGCUGCAACUAACGACCUGACAACAUCAUCUCGUUUUGAUUGAGGAUGCGAUGAACCCCCACCCCUGCCCCCUGCUAUCCUACUGUUCCUGGCUGCGCCUUCACUUCCUAAAUAAUCAUGCACGCAACCCCCUCCCCAUGCCCCUGCCCCGUGCCCCGAUUGAUCAUGCAUGGAACCCCCACCCCCACCCCUGCCCCUGCCCCGUGCCCCUGCCCCGUGCCCCGUGCCCCUGCCCCGUGCCCCCGCCCUGCUCCCCACACUACAGUCUGGUGUACUGUGACACGCCCAAGUGUCUGGAGCUGCUGCGGGCCGGCGAGGUGCAGGUGCGUGCGUGUGUGAUAUAGGUAGAGAGCGCCUCUGUGCAGAUACACACACAAACACACUCAUUCACCACCUAUCUCGUGUUUUCUGACACACACACGCACACACACACACACACACACACACACACACACACACACACACACACACACACACACACACACACACACACACACCACAAUCGCUCUCUCGACAGUACCAUAACCACGCACGCCAUGAUUGAGUAUCACGCAAAUUGCUGCACCCCGUUGCUCUCCACCUUCACACGUCGAUUUCUUUAUUUGCUUCGUUGUUUCAGGGUUUCGCCACUGACAAGCCUCUACUGGAUUACAUCGCGGGACAACAGCCCUGCGACCUCGCACUGGUCGGAGAACCGUUCGGACCCAGUGAGCUCCGUAUGGCAGCGGUGUGUGAUGUGUGUGUGCUAAGAAAACAACAAAACGAAGCCCGCCCAGACGACGGCGUCGGAGUUACUUACGGAUACCUACCAAUACCGUGUGUGCGUAUGUGUGUGUGUGUGUGGUGUGUGUGUGUGUGUGUGUGUGUGUGUGUGUGUGUGUGUGUGUGUGUGUGUGUGUGUGUGUGUGUGUGUGUGUGUGUGUGUGUGUGUGUGUGUGUGUGUGUGUGUGUGUGUGUGUGUGUGUGUUAAAAAACGAAACGAAAGCCCGCCCAAUGACGCGACGGAGUUACUUACCGAUACCCACCAUUUUACCGAGCGUCGCGUGACUGUCGUGACCCAGGUAGUCAUACUUACCCGCGAUAAGCCUGGAACCCCACGGGCGACCAUUCGGCCUGACCCCGCGAUGCAC
Molecule: long non-coding RNA, 8017 nt
Filed under: Chlamydomonas reinhardtii
Lineage: Eukaryota; Viridiplantae; Chlorophyta; Chlorophyceae; Chlamydomonadales; Chlamydomonadaceae
Description: long non-coding RNA (CREI_LNC001093)
Source: RNAcentral